RNAcentral lists this long non-coding RNA (1080 nucleotides) under Lepisosteus oculatus (spotted gar). RNAcentral's name for it is "lncRNA (ENSLOCG00000023074.1)". The record is from RNAcentral. Lineage: Eukaryota; Metazoa; Chordata; Actinopteri; Semionotiformes; Lepisosteidae.
CUGUGUUCAUCUUCGUCUGGUACAGAUGUUCGACAUUCUGCACCCUCAGAGACACUUGGCAAGCAGCAAGAAGAUUUCCUACAUUCACCCUGUUCAUGAGAAAACACUACACAAUCACGUAAGUUGGCUAUUUUGUGGGUCACAGAGGAUUCUAAACAACAGGUAACAAAGUGACAGCACAGACAAUUAUGCAGCACAAAUUUGAUGAACCUCAUUAAAAACAUCUGCCAACACCUCUAGAAGCCUGGCUAAGAAAGAAUUAAUGCAGACACACAGGUCACCUAAACAUGUUAAUCAGACUCAGAAAUAUCAAUAGGCUUAUUUUUAUUCAUUUUUAAAAUGACUGCACAGAUAGCAAAUACACCACAUAGUAAUUAUCUCAGCAGUAGAAGGCAUAGAACAAGCAAUGAGCAUAAAUAUUUAUAUCAGAAGUAGUUAUUCAGUAUCAAUAGCUAUUUGAAAAAUAGGAAAAUUGCUUAUUAGUUAUAUUUUCAUAGUUAUAUUUUUAGUUACUUACAUAAUCUUGAAUUUCGAUCACACAUUUCUUCAAUGAGAAACAUCUGCUUUAUUUCUCCUUUAGUUUAGGCCUAAACACCAUUUUAACAGACAUUGGUCAACUUUAGGAGGCUGGGUGAGUUUUUCUUUUUUUAGGAUUUUAUAAAGCUCAUUCCUGAAACUCUGUAUUUAGUGUAGAUCAAAGUUUUCUUUACACUAUGUGACAAAUCAUCAAAUAAACAGACAAUACUUUAAAAAGAAGGAGUUUCAAGAGAAUCAUGAAAGAUAAAUGAAGGUGAUACACAGGUUAAAUUUGUCAGUUUAUUAAGAAAUUAAAGCAGAAGAAAAAGUCAAAGUGAAAGGAAGUCAAAGUGAGAGUGUAACUUUAAAGUUGACUUUUUUAAUUACAAAACAAUAAUAUGUAACUGAGUGCUGUAAUUGAAAACCUUUCUAUUUUCUGUUUCCAGGAGAUAAUUCGUCGUCCUUUCCACCCAUGUGUAAGCAUGUUCUCUUUUACAGCAAAAUGCUAAAUAAUAUUUAGAACUCAAAAUAACAAUAAUGAUAAUAAAAUUGAGGGAUGUGGAA